Araneus ventricosus is the source of this 71-nucleotide non-coding RNA. Lineage: Eukaryota; Metazoa; Arthropoda; Arachnida; Araneae; Araneidae. The record is from the annotation of a GenBank genome assembly.
GCAGCCGUGGCCGAGCGAUUAAGGCGGUAUCCUGAACUAGUUCCCGCGCAGGUUCGAACUUGCUGGCUGCC